GGGGGGGAGGGGAGCGCGCCGCCCCGGCAGACAAUAAGCGCCGCGCAGCCUACUGGCGUGGGCUGAGUGGCUAGCACCGUCCCCGUAGCUGGGGAGAUUCCACCCAGGGGGCGCCGAGCCUAGGGAGCCGGGGGAGGGGCGGAGGCGACAGAACGCCUGACCUGGCUGGCGACCCACACCCAUCCUGCCACAGAGCACCCUCUCGCGCCCCCAGUUACACACACACACACACACCCUGGAGUAGGGGAGGGAACCUUGGCACGGAGAACCUGUCUCGCGCCGCCACCGCUGAGGGAGGGGCGCGCCAGCUCCUGGGUCAGCGCGCCCCCAAAAUGAGCCGGGAAAGUGCUUUGCUUCUCUGGCGCUCCUCACUCCUCCCUCCACGUUAAAUAAGUUUUUGCUCCGCAGUUGUGUGUAACUGACCUUAAACUUUCCCCGACCCUAUUUCGGGAUGCUAGAGUUCAGGUCGUAGUGGCCUUUGGGGAUCCGGGCUCCUAGGACUUGGGAAAGAAGGGGCCUGGAUGUCCAACUCCCUACCUCUCCCCAGUUCUUAAAAUAUAUACUAAAUUCCUGAGAAGUUUCGGGAAGUUUUCGACGAUACUCUCUAGCCAACCUUAGGGAACUUUUAACCCUGGAGUUGUCAAGUAAGGCAAGGUUAGGCUGUGCGAUGCGCAGGAUGGAAGAGGGGUUCCCUUCCAGUCGUGUCCUAGGGCGCACGUUCAGUUUUGUUGUCAUGUUUACUCAGAGCUUUUCCUGGGCAUCAGGUAGGUUGCAAAUAAGUAGUUGGAAAGGGGGUGGGGUGGUACCUUCCCUGGACACAGCGCAAAAUAUUGGUUCCCCACCCCCAUCCUCACACACGCGCAGGCACACACACACCUUCUCUCCCUCUAAAAGAUUAUCACAACUAUGUACAAACUGAUACGGUCCUCAGCCAAGGGACUGGAAAUGAACAUCGCGGGGUUAUCAGUGCCGAUCUGUCAGCAGCGAGUCGCACGGCCGCAGGCUCGUCCGCGGCAGGAGCCGUGAUAUAUGUCUCGCUCCCUUUCGCUCACAAAACGGAUUUCUUCCGACAGGCGUGACCCCAGAAGGCUGCGGAGAGAGCAUUUAACUAAGCAGAAGGAGUUGUCUUGUGGGAUUGGAUUUUUACACACACACCCCCGAGGUAAAUCAAAAUAAAUGAUUUUCCAAAGGUCAGUCUCCCUGAAAGCGUUUGGGCUGUGUGUUUUUGUUUUGUUUUGUUUUUCAUUGGGGAAGGAAGAGGAACCUAAUCAGAGUUGAACAGGGAUAGAUAGGUGCAUUGUAAAAUAUGGUUUCGAUUGAUUGUGAGAUCUGGUUGCGAAGGGUAGGUUUCCUGGCAAUAUAACAGUGAGUGGUGAACCUGUGGAUCCCUAGGGGACGGGGGAGGGGGAAAGAGUUUCGCGUUGAUCCGGAGGGGGGGGGGGGCGCGGACUCUAGGAAGUUGGGUAAAAUUCUCCAUUUUUUAAAUUCUUCGUUGUAAACUGUUGCUAAACACUUCUGAAUUUUAAAUUGCUACAGAGAAGGUCCAUAAACCGUUCUCGUUCAAUUUAGUCACUUUUAUUACAUUCCUCUUUGCCUCCCCCAAUCACUACUUCGGCUCCCAGUUUCAGCGUGGCCGCAUUUCGGAAACGCUGAAGGUAGAAAACUCUGGAAUGGAGAGAUUGGUGACCGGAGCAGGAUCCAGGGCCUUUAAAGUUUAACCUGAGUUCGAUCGAAUGCAACUACCGGAGUAACGUUGGCCGGCCGCUCAAUUCCCACCAUGGCUUCAGAUGUCUUGCACUCGGUUCUUUGCUGAGUUCCGACCAAAUGGACUGGGUUUUGCAGAGUUCUUUUGUGAGCGGUUAUUUUAAUGUUCUGGACAUUUAUUUUCCUUUGAGUCCAAUUGUUUUUGAAAUGUUUCUCAGAUUUACUAUUAAAAGUAAAUUUUUUUAAAGUCCAUGCUUGCUAAAAAAAAAUAAAUGCUUUGGUUAGGUUUGCAUCCAUGCUGUGAAUGGCCUCCAAGCUGAGCCCUGGAGGAGAUCAAGCCCUGGCACGAGCUUGAUUCCUACCUAUCCUCUAUGAUUCUUUAUAUUUGCAAAUAUGAUGAUAUCGGUGUGGAUUUCCUGGGAGAUAGCUAACCCCCACUGUCCUGCCUUUCUUGCAGCUCCCCUGCAGCAUUAGGAGGGCGCACUGACCUCGGCGCCCAUGCGACAGAGGUGAGCUGCUGGACGGAUAUUGACCAAUUCAACAAUGUUCGGGCUGCUGUAAGGGUUCGAGAGAGAACCCAGCAUUUUAACCUUAAUAUUCCCCAUCACUUAAGAAUGCCCAAACCAAAGGGAAAAAUAAGUAAUUGUUCCUUUUCAGGCCACAAGUUAUACCUUUUUAUAAUAAACAUUGGUUUUCCAAUCAAACGAGGGAAUGGAUAAAGAAAUGCUUUCCAUAUAAGUUAUUUUUAAAAUAAAACAAAACUAUUAAACCUGAACAGUCGAUUAAGACAGAAAACCAGGUUGUCUGGCCGCCCCAAUUUGCCUUUUUCCGAGGCAAAGACUUUGGCGCUGGGGACAAACAACCACCGACAGAGGCGGGUUUUCAGAGCCAGCCCCCAUGGGCUCCAGGCCCCGGGCACUGAGAUUCCUCUAAUCCGGUCUGAAAUGUCAGCAGAAUCCGGGGUGCAGAGGAAAGAGGCACACCCCAAACUAAGGAGGAACCCAAGAGCUGUAUAAAACCCAAUAGUGCCCACAUAAACAGAUAAUUCUCUUAAGAAUUUCUUUUUUCUUCUUGUUUUUUUUUCCUCCUAUUUUUUCUUUAAAAAAAAUAUAUUUUUUUCUUUUCGCUUCUCCUGUCUCCUCUUUAGGAACCUGCUAAUAUUGAACGAAACCGUUUAUCUCAAGACUAUUUAGACCCCAAAAGCGACCAUUCCAAAAACGAGCCGUACUCCUCACCCUUGGAGAGGGCUGGCCCUGGGGCGCGGCCGGUCCCGAGGGCUGAUUUAUUUGGGCCGCGCCACGCCACUAGACGCGAUUCGAAUCC
This 3027-nucleotide long non-coding RNA is filed under the name Marmota monax (woodchuck). Lineage: Eukaryota; Metazoa; Chordata; Mammalia; Rodentia; Sciuridae. The record is from RNAcentral.